CCCCUAGAUGUUCUGGGCCGCACGCGCGCUACACUGAACAGUUCAACAAGUCUUAACCUUGGCCGAUAGGUCUGGGUAAUCUUUGAACGCUGUUCGUGAUUGGGAUAGACCUUUGCAAUUAUGGGUCUUCAACGAGGAAUUCCUAGUAAACGCAAGUCAUCAGCUUGCAUUGAUUACGUCCCUGCCCUUUGUACACACCGCCCGUCGCACCUACCGAUUGAAUGGUCCGGUGAAAUCUCGGGACGGCGGCUCGGUCGCUUGCGUCCGACUGCUGAAACUUGAUUAAACCAUACCAUUUAGAGGAAGGUGAAGUCGUAACA
Molecule: ribosomal RNA, 320 nt
Filed under: uncultured eukaryote
Lineage: Eukaryota
Description: partial 18S ribosomal RNA
Rfam family: Eukaryotic small subunit ribosomal RNA
Source: RNAcentral